UACGUAGGGUGCAAGCGUUAAUCGGAAUUACUGGGCGUAAAGCGUGCGCAGGCGGUUAUGUAAGACAGGUGUGAAAUCCCCGGGCUUAACCUGGGAACUGCAUUUGUGACUGCAUAGCUAGAGUACGGUAGAGGAGACUGGAAUUUACGGUGUAGCGGUGAAAUGCGUAGAUAUCGUAAGGAAGACCAGUGGCGAAGGCGGGUCUCUGGACAGUUCCUGACGCUGAGGCACGAAGGUCAGGGGAGCAAACGGG
Molecule: ribosomal RNA, 253 nt
Filed under: uncultured bacterium
Lineage: Bacteria
Description: partial 16S ribosomal RNA
Rfam family: Bacterial small subunit ribosomal RNA
Source: RNAcentral